RNAcentral lists this ribosomal RNA (497 nucleotides) under uncultured bacterium. RNAcentral describes it as "partial 16S ribosomal RNA". It matches the Rfam family "Bacterial small subunit ribosomal RNA", at positions 28 to 507 of the family's 1533-position model. The record is from RNAcentral.
GAUGAACGCUGGCGGCGUGCCUAAUACAUGCAAGUCGAACGGAAACACGAGGCACUUUCCUGCUUUACUUUCGCGUCGGGCGGGGGAGUGACAUGUGUGGAACCUUGCUUGAUGGCUGGGGUUACUUCGUGGAACCGGUGGCAAUACCGGCUUAUAUACGCAACCGCAUGGUGCAGUAGUUUAGGGCGGUUUGGCUUUCACUUUUAGCUGAUUCCACUCGGGAUUAGCUAGUUGGUCAGGUAACGGCUUACCAAGGCAACGAUUCGUAGCCGACCUGAGAGGGUGAUCGGCCACACUGGAACUGAGACACGGUCCAGACUCCUACGGGAGGCAGCAGUAGGGAAUAUUCCACAAUGGGCGAAAGCCUGACGCAGCCACGCCGCGUGUAUGAAGAAGGUCUUCGGAUUGUAAAACUCUGUCAGCAGGGAGGAAGAAAUGAGAAUGAAUACCUGUACGCAUUGACGGUACCCACAGAGAAAGCACCGGCUAACUCCGUG